GCAAGUCGAGGGGUAACAGAGGUAGCUUGCUAAUUUGCUGACGAGCGGCGGACGGGUGCGUAACGCGUAUAGAAUCUGCCUCAUACUGAGGGAUAGCCUUUGGAAACGAAGAUUAAUACCUCAUAGUAUCAUUUAACGGCAUCGUUUAGUGAUUAAAGGUUACGGUAUGAGAUGACUAUGCGUCCUAUUAGUUAGUUGGUAAGGUAAUGGCUUACCAAGGCGACGAUCCCUAGCUGGUCUGAGAGGAUGAUC
This 252-nucleotide ribosomal RNA is filed under the name uncultured bacterium. RNAcentral's name for it is "partial 16S ribosomal RNA". It matches the Rfam family "Bacterial small subunit ribosomal RNA", at positions 57 to 305 of the family's 1533-position model. The record is from RNAcentral.